AAUCAACGCUGGCGGCGUGCCUCAGACAUGCAAGUCGAACGAUUAAGACUUCCUUCGGGAAGUGCAUAAAGUGGCGCACGGGUGAGUAACACGUAAGUAAUCUACCUUCGAGUGGGGAAUAACGUUCGGAAACGAACGCUAAUACCGCAUAAUGCAGCGGCAUCGCAAGAUGACAGUUGUUAAAGGAAUUUAUUUCGCUUGAAGAGGAGCUUGCGGCAGAUUAGCUAGUUGGUAAGGUAACGGCUUACCAAGGCUACGAUCUGUAUCCGGUCUAAGAGGACGGUCGGACACACUGACACUGAAUAACGGGUCAGACUCCUACGGGAGGCAGCAGUCGGGAAUUUGGGCAAUGGGCGAAAGCCUGACCCAGCAACGCCGCGUGAAGGAUGAAGUAUUUCGGUAUGUAAACUUCGAAAGAAUGGGAAGAAUAAAUGACGGUACCAUUUAUAAGCUCCGGCUAACUACGUGCCAGCAGCCGCGGUAAU
RNAcentral lists this ribosomal RNA (485 nucleotides) under uncultured bacterium. Its description in RNAcentral is "bacterial SSU rRNA". It matches the Rfam family "Bacterial small subunit ribosomal RNA", at positions 32 to 524 of the family's 1533-position model. The record is from RNAcentral.